GUCACCAACGAAGGCCGAGGCCAGUGGAGGAAAUAAAAGAGUCAGAGGCCCCGAGAGGGGAAGCCAUUUGUCCAAAGCCACAUAGAAGCCAGUGGCCAGGCUGGAAUUCAAAGCCAGGAUCAAAGGGUGCACAGAUGUUGCAGGGUCUUGACAGCUCUGCCAAGGCCCCCCCCCCCACCCUCUCCACACCCCCACCCACCCUCUGCUCCCACCGCUGGCCCACCCCAUGUCCAGCCAUCACAGCCCACUCGGUAUUCGUCACAUUCACCAGGCCCACUCUCUCAAGCCACGAGCGGCAGUGCAUGCUCCCCCACUGCUUACUGGGAGCCACCACACCCAGACUGGGUGAUGCUAGGAAGCUGGCACCUCUUCCAAGAAGCCUUCCUUGCUCUUUAUUCAGCAUGUCUGCCCUUGGCUGGACUGAAGGCCUUCUCUGACUCCCCUGCUCAUACUUUUACUGUGGGUUGGCUGCAUCUUUUACCUGCAGCACCAAGAGCUCCCAGAAGGCAGGCACAGGAGCUGACUCACCUGUCUGCCCUUGCCCAACUACCUUGCUGGAGGCUGCGAGACACGUGGAGCAGAGCUGAGUUGCCCAGCCAAGGCUCCAGAGAGGUGAGAUGCCCAACCAAGGUCAGCAGAGCUUCCUAUUUCAUCCACAGCUGACCACAGAUGCACAAGUGAGUCCAACCGAGUCCAGAGAACUUUCCAGCUCACCUAUAGGCUUAUGAGCAGUAAUACAUAUUUGUUGUUUACA
This is a long non-coding RNA of Phyllostomus discolor (pale spear-nosed bat), 754 nucleotides long. RefSeq lists it as uncharacterized. The transcript has 2 exons. Lineage: Eukaryota; Metazoa; Chordata; Mammalia; Chiroptera; Phyllostomidae. The record is from RefSeq and is a predicted model, not a curated record.